This 497-nucleotide ribosomal RNA is filed under the name uncultured bacterium. RNAcentral describes it as "partial 16S ribosomal RNA". It matches the Rfam family "Bacterial small subunit ribosomal RNA", at positions 28 to 507 of the family's 1533-position model. The record is from RNAcentral.
GAUGAACGCUGGCGGCGUGCCUAAUACAUGCAAGUCGAGCGAACAGACGAGGAGCUUGCUCCUCUGACGUUAGCGGCGGACGGGUGAGUAACACGUGGAUAACCUACCUAUAAGACUGGGAUAACUUCGGGAAACCGGAGCUAAUACCGGAUAAUAUACUGAACCGCAUGGUUCAAUAGUGAAAGACGGUUUUGCUGUCACUUAUAGAUGGAUCCGCGCCGCAUUAGCUAGUUGGUAAGGUAACGGCUUACCAAGGCAACGAUGCGUAGCCGACCUGAGAGGGUGCUCGGCCACACUGGAACUGAGACACGGUCCAGACUCCUACGGGAGGCAGCAGUAGGGAAUCUUCCGCAAUGGGCGAAAGCCUGACGGAGCAACGCCGCGUGAGUGAUGAAGGUCUUCGGAUCGUAAAACUCUGUUAUUAGGGAAGAACAAAUGUGUAAGUAACUAUGCACGUCUUGACGGUACCUAAUCAGAAAGCCACGGCUAACUACGUG